This 22-nucleotide non-coding RNA is filed under the name Arabidopsis thaliana (thale cress). The record is from RNAcentral. Lineage: Eukaryota; Viridiplantae; Streptophyta; Magnoliopsida; Brassicales; Brassicaceae. RNAcentral also lists the same sequence under 1 other name.
AAUGGCUCAUUAAAUCAGUUAU